Molecule: ribosomal RNA, 404 nt
Filed under: Fusobacteriota bacterium
Lineage: Bacteria; Fusobacteriati; Fusobacteriota
Description: Fusobacteria bacterium partial 16S ribosomal RNA
Rfam family: Bacterial small subunit ribosomal RNA
Source: RNAcentral
AGGGGAAUAUUGCACAAUGGAGGGAACUCUGAUGCAGCGACGCCGCGUGAGUGAUGAAGGAAUUCGUUUCGUAAAACUCUGUUCUAUGGGAAGAAAAGGACUGUACCAUAGGAGAAAGCUCCGGCUAAAUACGUGCCAGCAGCCGCGGUAAUACGUAUGGAGCGAGCGUUGUCCGGAAUUAUUGGGCGUAAAGGGUGCGCAGGCGGCUUUACAAGUUGGAUGUGAAAUAUUGUGGCUCAACCACAAACGUGCAUCCAAAACUGCAAAGCUUGAGUUAAGGAGAGGUAAGUGGAAUUCCUGGUGUAGCGGUGGAAUGCGUAGAUAUCAGGAGGAAUACCGGUGGCGAAGGCGACUUACUGGACUUAAACUGACGCUCAGGCACGAAAGCGUGGGGAGCAAACAGG